This 468-nucleotide ribosomal RNA is filed under the name uncultured bacterium. RNAcentral describes it as "partial 16S ribosomal RNA". It matches the Rfam family "Bacterial small subunit ribosomal RNA", at positions 28 to 507 of the family's 1533-position model. The record is from RNAcentral.
GACGAACGCUGGCGGCGUGCUUAACACAUGCAAGUCGAACGGAAAGGCCCUGCUUUUGUGGGGUGCUCGAGUGGCGAACGGGUGAGUAACACGUGAGUAACCUGCCCUUGACUUUGGGAUAACUUCAGGAAACUGGGGCUAAUACCGGAUAGGAGCUCCUGCUGCAUGGUGGGGGUUGGAAAGUUUCGGCGGUUGGGGAUGGACUCGCGGCUUAUCAGCUUGUUGGUGGGGUAGUGGCUUACCAAGGCUUUGACGGGUAGCCGGACUGAGAGGGUGACCGGCCACAUUGGGACUGAGAUACGGCCAAGACUCCUACGGGAGGCAGCAGUGGGGAAUAGUGCACAAUGGGCGGAAGCCUGAUGCAGCAACGCCGCGUGCGGGAUGACGGCCUUCGGGUUGUAAACCGCUUUCGCCUGUGACGAAGCGUGAGUGACGGUAAUGGGUCAAGAAGCACCGGCUAACUACGUG